Molecule: non-coding RNA, 1111 nt
Organism: Castor canadensis (American beaver)
Lineage: Eukaryota; Metazoa; Chordata; Mammalia; Rodentia; Castoridae
Source: RefSeq, a predicted model, not a curated record
UGAGCCGGACAGUAGUCUAAGAAUUACUUUAUUGCACUCGUCGUAGGGAGUGUGUAGUCCUGACAGGAAGCAUGGAAGAGGCACUCUACUGGUCUCAGCUAGACGGCUGUGAUGAUCCGAUCCUUCUCAUCCAUGAAGCUUCUGUGGACUUGCUCCAACUUCCUGCAGCAAGGGGGUUGCAUUUAACCCUGGGACUCCAGUCUCUGAUGUCCCUUUAGUCCUGCCAUCCCCCAUCCAGUUCUAGGGUCUCUCAUUGCUUUCCAUCUGUGGGGACUUCAGACUAACAGUGCCUGGGAUGGAUGGGAACAGGGACACUGAGAGGCCCAGGCUCGUACAGGUCUCCCUAACACCCCAAGGGUCGAGCUGUUCUGCUGAAGAUGUGUAAGCAGCUUUGCACCUGGGGGUGCUCCUGCCAGUAACCUAGGAAGGGUUGUAUGUCCACUUCCAUAACUGAACUAGGCAGGCUGCUGGCAAUGGACACUGGCCUUCAGGUAUCUUGACACCUGAGAAAAUCCACGUCAUCGCACACAUGAGAGUGGGAGACACCAACUGCCAAAUGAGCAACUGCCAAAUGAGGACUCAUUCUGACCAUGUCUACCAACAAGGGCUCAUAUCAGUCUCAGGACCCUGCCUGGGCAGCGACCCUCACUCUCAGGCCUGCCCAUCCUUCAAGAAGGCCAGAGGUCAGAAAUCGGGACUUCUUCCCACCUUUCAAGCCCUCCCCACCUGCCAGCUCCCUACUCUCCAUAUGCUUUGGUCCGGGUUUCUCAAGAACAGACAGGCAGGACAAUAAAACCAAGGGCAGUGACUCAGGAAGGAUCCCUGGCCUGGGUCCCCAGCCUUUCCUCCUACCUGGGCAGACCCUGAGCACCUCCCUCCUAUAGCCAUGCAGGCUGAAUGAAUGUGGCACUGGCAGCUAGCUGCUCCUGGGAACGUGGAGUGCACCCGUCUGGCUCAGACUUCCUCUUCCUCCCUCCCUACCUGGGAGGCACAUGUACCUCUUUGGACUUGAUGAAGAAAGCUCGCUUAACUUCUUCGGCACUGGCUCCAGGAUGCACACCCAACAGUUCAUAAUAAUUACUGGGACCAGACCUGUGGAGAGAGGCCCAAA